UGGGCCUAUAGCUCAGUUGGUAGAGCAGGGGACUCAUAAUCCCUUGGUCGUAGGUUCAAGUCCUACUGGGCCCAU
Molecule: transfer RNA, 75 nt
Filed under: Candidatus Azoamicus ciliaticola
Lineage: Bacteria; Pseudomonadati; Pseudomonadota; Gammaproteobacteria; Candidatus Azoamicaceae
Description: endosymbiont of Plagiopylea sp. tRNA-Met(cat)
Rfam family: tRNA
About the family: Transfer RNA (tRNA) molecules are approximately 80 nucleotides in length.
Source: RNAcentral